Molecule: non-coding RNA, 1077 nt
Organism: Picea glauca (white spruce)
Lineage: Eukaryota; Viridiplantae; Streptophyta; Pinopsida; Pinales; Pinaceae
Source: Rfam
GUUAAAAAUCUCGUAGUUGGAUCUUGGAUCGUAAAGGUCGGUCCGCCUACUUGGUGUGCACCUGCCCUUCCGCCCUUUUGUCGGUGGCGUGCUCCUGGCCUUAAUUGGUUGGGUCGUAGUUCCAACGUUGUUACUUUGAAAAAAAUAUAGUGCUCAAAGCAAGCUUAUGCUCUGAAUACAUUAGCAUGGAAUAAAGCGAUAGGAGUUUGGUCCUAUUUUGUUAUACUUCGAGACCAGAGUAAUGAUUAAUAGGGACUGUCAGGGGCAUUCGUAUUUCAUUGUCAGAGGUUAAAUUCUUGGAUUUAUGAAAGAUGAACCACUGCGAAAUCAUUUUCCAAGGAUGUUUUCAUUAAUCAAGAACGAAAGUUGGGGGCUCGAAGACGAUCAUAUACCAUCCUAGUCUCAACCAUAAACGAUGCCAACUAGGGAUCAACGAAUGUUGUUCUAAGGACUCCGCCAACACCUUAUGAGAAAUCAGAGUGUUUGGGUUCCGGGGGGAGUAUGGUUGCAAGGAUGAAACUUAAAGGAUUUGACGAAAGGGCACCGAAAGGAGUAGAUCCUGCAGCUUAAUUUGACUCAACACGGGAAAACUUACCAGGUCCAGACAUAGUAAGGAUUGAUAGAUUGAGAGCUCUUUCUUGAUUCUGUGGGUGGUGGUACAUGGUCGUUCUUAGUUGGUGGAGCGAUUUUUCUGGUUAAUUCUGAUAAUGAACGAGACCUCAGCUUGCUAACUAGCUACGUGGAGGUUCCCCUUCACAACUAAUGUCUUAGAGGGAAUAUGGUUGUAACACCCUGUUUCCCCCAACUUGUAAAUAUAACUGGACUAUCCAAGAACUAUGGAAAACUCAUAAAUAUGAAUAUGUGAUGUAAAUGGACCUUGAGGAAGAGGUCAAUGAAUAUGAAUAACAUUCUGAAUUUAUUGUAGGACUGCUAAUGAGGGGAUGUGCAGAAAAAGAGACCAUGAUGGCGGUGGAAGGCACCUGAAAAGGUGGCGUUAACUUCCACCGAGAAUUUAAUAUUGUAUUUGGACUCCACUGGACCGGAGAACCAAAAGCGGCUCGCUGGCCCUGAAAAUUA